UUGUUUUCUUUUUGGGGUCCUGUUCUUUCGCGUCGGCAAGUAUCAAGGGGACGUCGGCUUCUGGUACGGUCUGGAGCAGACGUGUAGCUCGUGUGUUAUAAUAUAGUAAAGUUUAGACGUUGUGGGAUGGUUGCAUCAUCCCACACGCAUAUUCCUUGAGUAAUAGAUCUCAUGCGCUUACCACAACAACAACAACAAGCAUCAUAAAACAAACUGUGCCGAACCUACCUCAGCUAGUCGGGAUACAAGUGCAAAAAGAGAAAUGCUGACUCCUAUGCCACAACUUGCGGAACCAAAGGCCGAGAAACGCUGCUGUACGGGACUCUGUUUACAAGUGUCGACUUCCUGAGAUUUUCAAGAUAAGAUACCAAGUUCUACACCCAUACAAAGUAAGAGGAAAUCAUUCAUACAGUACAGAAAUGGCACUCUUGAACGUGGUACAGCUAUUACUUUGCUGAAGUACUAUGUUACGCCAUCAAGACAUGGGAGACGAGGAGGUAAAGCUCCACGCAUUUUCGCCUCGGAACCAGAAGUGGGAGUUUGCGGUAAAACAGUCCCUAGUAUCAAUUGAAUAAAAUACUUGGAUGGCCGCGGGGCGUCUUUGAUGUACCGUUGAAGAGAACAACCCAUACACCUGCCGGAAAUCAUUAAUGUAGUUCAAUUUGUAACAGUCUUCUUAAAAGUUUGAACAUGUCUUUAAAGUUAGUAAAUAAAUUAGUCCAAAAAAUAAAAAAAAAUUGCCGCGUGACUAAAUAUCGCAAUAAGUUA
This is a non-coding RNA of Zootermopsis nevadensis, 768 nucleotides long. The record is from RefSeq and is a predicted model, not a curated record. Lineage: Eukaryota; Metazoa; Arthropoda; Insecta; Blattodea; Termopsidae.